RNAcentral lists this transfer RNA (58 nucleotides) under Mycoplasmopsis cynos. RNAcentral describes it as "tRNA-Phe". It matches the Rfam family "tRNA", at positions 9 to 63 of the family's 71-position model. From Rfam's summary of the family: Transfer RNA (tRNA) molecules are approximately 80 nucleotides in length. Their secondary structure includes four short double-helical elements and three loops (D, anti-codon, and T loops). Lineage: Bacteria; Bacillati; Mycoplasmatota; Mycoplasmoidales; Metamycoplasmataceae. The record is from RNAcentral.
AGCUCAGUUGGUAGAGCAACAGAUUGAAGCUCUGUGUGUCGCUGGUUCGAUUCCUGUA